This 440-nucleotide ribosomal RNA is filed under the name uncultured bacterium. RNAcentral describes it as "partial 16S ribosomal RNA". It matches the Rfam family "Bacterial small subunit ribosomal RNA", at positions 338 to 795 of the family's 1533-position model. The record is from RNAcentral.
CCUACGGGUGGCAGCAGUGGGGGAUAUUGGACAAUGGGGGAAACCCUGAUCCAGCGAUGCCGCGUGAGGGAAGAAGGUUUUCGGAUUGUAAACCUCUGUGGAGGGGGACGAUAAUGACGGUACCCCUUUAGGAAGCCACGGCUAACUACGUGCCAGCAGCCGCGGUAAUACGUAGGUGGCGAGCGUUGUCCGGAUUUACUGGGUGUAAAGGGAGCGUAGACGGCAGCGCAAGUCUGGAGUGAAAUCCCAUGGCUUAACCAUGGAACUGCUUUGGAAACUGUGCAGCUAGAGUGCAGGAGAGGUAAGCGGAAUUCCUAGUGUAGCGGUGAAAUGCGUAGAUAUUAGGAGGAACACCAGUGGCGAAGGCGGCUUACUGGACUGUAACUGACGUUGAGGCUCGAAAGCGUGGGGAGCAAACAGGAUUAGAUACCCCAGUAGUC